GACGAACGCUGGCGGCGUGCCUAAUACAUGCAACUUAGAACGCUGAAGAGAGGAGCUUGCUCUUCUUGGAUGAGUUGCGAACGGGUGAGUAACGCGUAGGUAACCUGCCUGGUAGCGGGGGAUAACUAUUGGAAACGAUAGCUAAUACCGCAUAAUAGCAGUUAUUGCAUGAUAACUGUUUGAAAGGUGCAAAUGCAUCACUCCCAGAUGGACCUGCGUUGUAUUAGCUAGUUGGUGGGGUAACGGCUCACCAAGGCGACGAUACAUAGCCGACCUGAGAGGGUGAUCGGCCACACUGGGACUGAGACACGGCCCAGACUCCUACGGGAGGCAGCAGUAGGGAAUCUUCGGCAAUGGACGGAAGUCUGACCGAGCAAUGCCGCGUGAGUGAAGAAGGUUUUCGGAUCGUAAAGCUCUGUUGUAAGAGAAGAACGAGUGUGAGAAGUGGAAAG
This 452-nucleotide ribosomal RNA is filed under the name Streptococcus mitis. RNAcentral describes it as "bacterial SSU rRNA". It matches the Rfam family "Bacterial small subunit ribosomal RNA", at positions 28 to 464 of the family's 1533-position model. Lineage: Bacteria; Bacillati; Bacillota; Bacilli; Lactobacillales; Streptococcaceae. The record is from RNAcentral.